Molecule: long non-coding RNA, 429 nt
Organism: Ictalurus punctatus (channel catfish)
Lineage: Eukaryota; Metazoa; Chordata; Actinopteri; Siluriformes; Ictaluridae
Source: Ensembl
AUCUCAGCUUUAAAUUAUCUCAGGUUUAAAUGAUCGCAGGUUUGAAUUAUCUCAGGUUUAUAUAAUCACAGAUUUAAAUGAUCACAGCUUUAAUUAAUCACAGCUUUAAAUGAUCGCAGGUUUAUAUAAUCGCAGGUUUAAAUUAUCUUAGGUUUAAAUGAUCGCAGGUUUAAUUGAUUGCAGUUUUAAAUGAUCGCAGGUUUAAAUGAUCGCAGUUUUAAAUGAUCGCAGGUUUAAAUGAUCGCAGGUUUAUAUGAUCACAGGUUUAUAUGAUCGCAGGUUUAUAUGAUCGCAGGUUUAUAUGAUCACAGGUUUAAAUGAUCCAGUGCAAAUAUUCAGGUUUAGCCGAAGCAAUUAUAUAAUACCAUUCGAUUGUACAGGUGACCUGGCAAAAUUAUGCAGCAUAACAAUUGUGCAGAUUGAAACUUG